AUCGCCUUGGCCUGUCCUUGCUGAGCAGCCUCUCCUGCCGAUCGGGAGUGUCAAGCUCCUAUAGGCAGCGUCUCCAUCCCCAUUGGCUGAGAGAGCCUGCGGUCUCCAGAGGACUCCUUCUCUCUGGGGCCAAGGGGUGUGACUGUAGCCACAGGUGGACGUUGUCCUGCUGAUGACAAGGAGAAACGACCUUCACUUGGAGCCAUUUUUCAGGUGGUAUCUGUCCAGGGUCAUGUUCCUGGCGAUGGCUGCCAUUUGGUUCAGCGUCCCUCUAGCUGAGUGGAGAUGAGCCCGAGCAGCACAUUGGGAGGAUGAGUGAAAUCUUGAAUGGUUUGGAGGGAUUCUAGUGGGGCUGGACCAGGGAGUGUCCCAGGAACCCACUGACUCUAUGUUGAUGGCUCCUAGGACUUAAGACUAUGGGAGUUCCAUCAGACUAAGUUAGUCUAAACAGGGAGUGUCCACAGGGGCCCAGAGGGGUGGACCUCUUGGGAUGAUGUGCAGGUUGAAGUGCAGAGUGGCCACAGAGUUCACCAGUUACUCAAAGGAAUCACAGUCCCUCAAAAAGAAUGAAGAACUCUAGAGUAAAUCAACUCCCUCAUUUUAAGAUGGAGAGAGGAAGGUUCAGAGAGGGAAGACCACCUGCCAGGACCACACAGCCAACUCAUCUAGUCAGCUCCACCAUCCUGAUUCCCAGCAGAGCACCCUUUGGAGGGCAUCCUGCUGCAGCUCUCAGGCUACCAGGCCACUCUGUCCUGAGCGGAGUAAGCAGCAUUGUCCAGCACAUUGUGCAACACUAGACCUGGGGGUCCACUUGUCUGGCCUUCCCUUUCCUCACUUAUUCCACAGGGACCAUGCAAGAGAGGCCGUGGAUCCUCAUCAGCUGGGGGCGACUGUGAUUCUGGGAAGAGGGGCAGCUGCGAACAGGAGAGCGCUGAGAAGGAACCAGCUGUGGACACGUCCCAGGCUGCGAAGUGGCUCCUUGGCAAAGCGGCAAGUGGCUCAAGCCGAAUGUGUCCACUGAUGUCCCUCCCUGCAUCUGCCCACCAGCCCCUGCCUGCCCACCUGCUGCCACACUCCCAAUCGCCUGGCCGCUGGCAGUGGCUUCCCACCACACAGGCCCCUGGAGCUGCCUCCUGAACCCUCGCCCUCUUCUUCCUGGAUCUGGGGAUGACAGGCGUCACUGCUGGACGACUGCUAGGCCCCCACAGUGGGCUUUUCAACAUUUUCUUUGGAAAACACAUCAAACACACACAAGAAAAACUGCAAGAACAAAAGUAGUGAUAGAAGACCCCGAUCCACCUUUUCACCUGUCCAUCGAUGUUAUCAUUUGUCCCGUCUUUAUUGUCCUUAUCUGUGAGUAGCAUGUUUUCCGGAGCCACUGAAGAGCAGGCUGACCGCCAGGGGCCUCUGCUCGCAGAUCUUCAGACGCCUCAGCUGCCCUGGCCCAAGCGCUCCUCGUCAGGAGUCCCCGGGCGGUUCCAGAGGUGAACCCGUUCCCAAGGCUCAGCACAUCAUCUCUGUCCUCCUGUGACAAGAAGGGGACCCUCCACUGUCCUUCCCACAACCUGACCAGCUUCACAGAUUUUUAGAACUAAAAAGACUUUAGUGAUCACUGGGUCCAACUUGCCCACUUUACAGGUGUAGACAGGCCCAGAGAGGGGAGGUAAUUGGGCAAGCCACACAGCCAGUGCUGGCAAAGCCCGGACUCAGUCAGGCUCUGGAUUCGCUGUCCCGGGCUCCCAGUCUGGGCCACCUGAUCCGGCCCAGCGCCUGUCUCUGUGCAGCAUCUGACGUCCAUCCAAGGGGCACCUCCAGGAAUGUGACGUUGUUAAAAAUAAAACACGAGGAGCCCAGCCCUUGUGUGCCUCCCAAGGACUCCAGAGAAAGGUGGCGGCGCCCGUCAGCUGCCGACUUCCGUCACUCACCUUUGCCACAAGGAGAACAAAGCCGCGGGGACGCUGGGCUCCAUGUGAUGUGGCUCGAGAGAAUCUGGGUGUCCUGAGCUAAAAUUAGCCAAUCUUGCUCUUCUGAAGACUUUCCUGGUACCCAGCAGUGGCCAACCUGCCUGGGGUCCCUUUGGGGAAGCUCAGCACUUUCACCUGGCACCUUCCUGGCUCAGCCUCCAGGGACCCCCACCCCCAUGUGCCCCCAGAGAAGCAUUAAAGAAUAGUAAGAAGUGA
Non-coding RNA from Marmota flaviventris (yellow-bellied marmot), 2180 nucleotides. The record is from RefSeq and is a predicted model, not a curated record. Lineage: Eukaryota; Metazoa; Chordata; Mammalia; Rodentia; Sciuridae.